This 90-nucleotide transfer RNA is filed under the name Streptomyces melanogenes. RNAcentral describes it as "tRNA-Glu". Lineage: Bacteria; Bacillati; Actinomycetota; Actinomycetes; Kitasatosporales; Streptomycetaceae. The record is from RNAcentral.
GGCUCGGGAGGCCGAGCGGCACGGCGCGGUCGCUCUCAUCGGCGGGCCGUCCGGGGGCGGCGGCCCGGUGUUCGCCGCAUCGCCGUCCCU